RNAcentral lists this unclassified non-coding RNA (392 nucleotides) under soil metagenome. RNAcentral's name for it is "partial contains 5.8S ribosomal RNA, internal transcribed spacer 2, and large subunit ribosomal RNA". The stretch from base 1 to 120 matches the Rfam family "5.8S ribosomal RNA", at positions 35 to 154 of the family's 154-position model. The record is from RNAcentral.
GAUGAAGAACGUAGCGAAAUGCGAUAAGUAAUGUGAAUUGCAGAAUUCAGUGAAUCAUCGAAUCUUUGAACGCACCUUGCGCUCGUUGGUAUUCCGACGAGCAUGCCUGUUUGAGUGUCAUUAAAUUCUCAACCUCACCACUUUUGUAAUGAAAGUGUGUGUUGGCUUGGAUGUGGGGGUUUGCAGGUCCGCUCUUUUGUGGUCUGCUCCUCUGAAAUGUAUUAGUGGGUUUGGUCCCCUAAUCUAUUGGUGUGAUAAUUAUCUACGCCGUGGAUUGGAAGACUAUUAUGAACCUGCUUCUAACCGUCCCUUACACGGACAAUACUUGACAUUUUUGACCUCAAAUCAGGUAAGACUACCCGCUGAACUUAAGCAUAUCAAUAAGCGGAGGA